AUCAAAGUAGAUGCUAAUUCUCAGAAGAAUUUGAAUCAGGAAGCUUGUUAAAUCAAUACUGCAUGCUUAUAAUGUAAUUACAGUAGAUUGGAGUAAGGAGUUGGAUACGACACCAACAAGACUUACAGAAGUGGCUCAUUUUAUCAAUUAAAUUAAAUUCAGAAUUAUCAUUUUAUGUAUUUGGGUUUAUCCCAUACUAGUGAUAAUACCCGCGAAGUUCGCGGUUUGAAUAAAAUAAUAUGUUUUU
Molecule: long non-coding RNA, 247 nt
Filed under: Helianthus annuus (common sunflower)
Lineage: Eukaryota; Viridiplantae; Streptophyta; Magnoliopsida; Asterales; Asteraceae
Description: sRNA HanXRQr2_Chr06g0252621
Source: RNAcentral